AAUCCUCUUCGUGGAAUAUAUUCGAUUGGUCCUAUGUUUUCCUGAUCUGCAGGAUUCUCCCCUUCGCAGGAUAUCCAGAUUGUGUUCAACUGAACUCCGGCUUCCAACCGUAUAUCUAGAAUAGACGAUAGAUAUUAAACAGAGAAGGAGACAUGUAAGGUAAUUCAACAUGGACAAGCACGGAUGAGUAACAAAAAUGAAAAAAAAACGUUGUUGAAGAAAAUCAACGUUACCUUGUUAAGUUUCAAAAAUAUACACGGAGCGGAUUUAUGAUAAUUGUACUUGUUUUCUUUCGUGCAAGGAUACCAGUUUUUAACAUCAACGUCGCAAACUUUGCCAGGAGGAGGCGGCUGAUUGUAGUCGCAUUUAUUUAUGUUCGCACCAAGACCGGGAACUGAACCUGGCGUUAUGUAAUCUAAAAAAAAAAAGAGUCAUUGAUUGUCAAUUCUGAUUCUUCAUUACACAAUAUCACUUAUUGUUACUCUAUAUAAUUAUAAAUUACGUAAUGAUAUAUAAUCCAGUGUGUACCUUUCAGAAACGAUUCUAGAGAAUUGACCCAGAAUUUGAAGUUCUCGCUAUCAGUUCCCCUGUACCAGAUUAGGGUACUUUCUACGUUGUCUAGCGGCGGCUGUGGCCUAAAUCCUAGCCCUGUAAGUAAAGAUGUUCAGUAACGUGUGACGACUACAGGAAGGAAAACUUGAUAAGAUUUGUUCCGAUUAUUGAACGUUCUAAUUGCCACCUCGGUAUCCUUGGAUCUAACGUUUGGAAGAAACCCCAGAAGCAGAUUGCAACCAGCGCGGCCAGUACACCGUAGAAUAUCAAAUAGAACAAUCCUAUUUUCCCUGGAAAACGAAUUCUAUUCUAGCUAUGAGCUGUCGAGCUUAGGAAAGAGGAUUGCAAAAUAUCCAAAUAGUUUCUGGGAUUGAAACGGAGCAAUUAACUACACGACAGGCCGUUCAAUCAUACUCGUACAUCCGAGUCUCGUUUUCCACAUUUCCGUUUUCAAUUUACACACAUUUCCGUCCAAUUUUUUUUCUUUUUUUCAUAGUUCCACACAGCAAAGCAUAUCAAACUGGAGAUUUGACUUAAAUGUGAUUUAUAUCUGGUAAGCAACGCAGAAGUGGAAAGAUCUACAUAAUUUAAAAAAAAAGGAUGUUUGAACUUGAAGACCAGCCACAAUUUAAUUGGCCAAACAAUUAUAGAUCAAGAACUAAUAAUUCUUUCCGACGUGGUGCCAUCAUCAUCUUCGUUCGCUUUCGAGUAAUAACGGCGAAACAACUUUAUCGGAUAGCAAUAACUGGAUAAUAAGCUUUACAAGCGCAAAAGGGUUAAAGUUCUCUCGGUACCAAAAUGGUACACACAAGAGGUCAUUUCAGCGGAGACUGGAAUCCGAGAAGCGACCUUGCGAGACAUUGAAUCGGAAGCCAACAAAUAGGCAAAAACUGUCAUGCGUAGAGCAGAGCUCUACCGCCGCGAGUUCUCGGCGGCAAAUUUCGACACUGAUUCUGGAAAUUUUUGGGAAGAUCGAUGCUGAACGAAAGCUCAUGGUACGGUCGCGUGGGUGUACCCUUCGGAAUGGCCCUAAGUUACAUAAUGCCGUAAUGCCUCCAUUUAACGCCAAUUGACCUCGUUGUACGCGUUUGCGCUAAAGGAAGUUUAACAAUUGCCAUUCAGCCGAGCAAACCGUUGUGUGUGCACCGCGAAUUAGCCGCGCUUCGCGCUUCCGUCUUUUUCUCUCCCUUCCUUUUUUUCUUUUCUUUUUUUUUUCCUUCUUCCUUCCCUUCAUUUCGGCCAAACCAAUCAAGGGCACACGCGCGUGGCCCUCCCCCACCCAAUCGAUAAACACAACACACUAAGCAGCGUCAAGCUUGUUUCCUCUCCUGCUUGAAAUAAGUCGACGUUCCUUCGUUUUAUGCUCUACAAUGUACGUACAUAAUUCCACGAACAAUUAAUUUAAUUAAAUUACGUUCAUUUUGAUUUUAAAUGUCGAUAUCUUUGAAUGCACGCAUACGACUCGAUGUACGAUUGACAUUUGUAUUUGGUUGUUGGUUCAGCUUUGGAGAUUCGAGAUUCACCGAAGCGUUAAAAAAAAAGAAGGUUAAGCCGAGGAAAGAAAAUCAAUUGUACACCGAAGACGUUAAAAUUGAAAUAACAAAUGUGUUGAAAUUGAAAUAUUAAUAUUGUAAUAUUUUUGAGAUUAACCAAGUUGAAAUUGUCCCGAAAGUAAAAGAGGAUUUGAUACCGAUAAGAUUUCGCUAAUAACAUAAGCGUUGAAGUGUAAAAGAGAACCGAUACGUGGAUAUUUCACGAUGCGUAGAUACGCAGCAGGAAUUGUAAGCGGUCGAAGAGAACCGAGGAAACAAUACAAGGGUGACACGGCGUUGAAGCUAGUUUCAAGGCUAGGAUAAAUCACAGGCGGGAUAUAUAUUUUAACAGUGCAAUGCAAUUUGCAAGAAAACUGCAAAACAACGACAAACAGGCUUCUGAGCUAAUUAAACGAAAGAAGACGCAACCUCAUGUGAUUCUACCUCUCUCUAUCUUUCUAUGUUUUUUGUGGGUCUUCUAUGUACUAUUGAAACUGUUGCAGACGAACGAUCAUGGCGUGUGAUGAUUCUACAGAUCAUAAAUAAAUACCUUGUUUCAACUUUUACUAUAUACUACAUUGUUAAAUAUUGGUAAUAC
Frieseomelitta varia is the source of this 2682-nucleotide long non-coding RNA. RefSeq lists it as uncharacterized. The transcript is spliced from 5 exons. Lineage: Eukaryota; Metazoa; Arthropoda; Insecta; Hymenoptera; Apidae. The record is from RefSeq and is a predicted model, not a curated record.